RNAcentral lists this long non-coding RNA (272 nucleotides) under Elaeis guineensis (African oil palm). RNAcentral's name for it is "long non-coding RNA (EGUI_LNC029796)". Lineage: Eukaryota; Viridiplantae; Streptophyta; Magnoliopsida; Arecales; Arecaceae. The record is from RNAcentral.
GCAGGGUCCACUGAGUACCAACGUAUAAUCCCCAUUGGCGGGGCCCACUGAAACAUAGUUAGGCUGAGAGCAUAAAUCCGAUCUGUAUCAAUACAUUAUGUAUCAUAAUAUACUAUAAUUUUUUUUUUACUGAACGUGUUCAUAAUCGACAUACCAUAAUAUUUUAAAAGUUCUUUUCUUUCAAAACAUAAUUUCAUAAAUCAUGCAUAAUUUAAGAGAAUAAUUAUUUAUUUUCAGAAUAAAUAUGAAAUAUUUCGAGAAGAUGAUUCAUU